This 25-nucleotide non-coding RNA is filed under the name Drosophila melanogaster (fruit fly). Lineage: Eukaryota; Metazoa; Arthropoda; Insecta; Diptera; Drosophilidae. The record is from RNAcentral.
UACUAGUAGAUUGCAGCUGUGAUAA